AAAAUUUCAGACACAUAAUAAUGCUUAUUAAACAGUUUUUUUUAUGCACAAGAAAAUUACUGGGGAUAUUUAAUACAAGAUUCUUCAUCAGUUAAUACGUGACAAUUUUCUUCAGUUGCAAGUCUUUUUCCUUUUUUAUCCAAGAUUCAAUCCAUUUUGUUGUAUUUAUUUUUUCAACUGGUGGACCAACAGCAUUUAUGAACAUUAAUGAUGAAAUAUGUUCAGAACUUAGAGUAUUCCUUUUUGGAGAUACUAUCUCAUUCAUAGAACUGAAGGCCCGUUCGCAUUCUGAUGAAGAUAUUGCAAUUGUUUUAAUUGCAGAGGUCAAAUUUUUGAGGAUAAUAUCGAUAAUAAUAUGGGUCUUCAAUCUAAAAAAGAACCAAUACGUAACAAUAUUAUUUCUAGUUGCAAAUUACCAAAAAACAUUAUAAUAAUUACUCACAUCAAUAAUACAAAAAUUGUUCAUUUCAUCGCCUACCUUCAAUGACGAAUACUGUAGAUAAAUGGUUUGUUAUUUAACAAAAUAAAUAAACUUUUCAAACAUCU
Aphis gossypii (cotton aphid) is the source of this 546-nucleotide long non-coding RNA. RefSeq lists it as uncharacterized. Lineage: Eukaryota; Metazoa; Arthropoda; Insecta; Hemiptera; Aphididae. The transcript has 3 exons. The record is from RefSeq and is a predicted model, not a curated record.